Long non-coding RNA from Frankliniella occidentalis (western flower thrips), 1063 nucleotides. RefSeq lists it as uncharacterized. The record is from RefSeq and is a predicted model, not a curated record. The transcript has 3 exons. Lineage: Eukaryota; Metazoa; Arthropoda; Insecta; Thysanoptera; Thripidae.
AGGAAUAUGGACUAAUUCAUGCAGCUGCACGGUCUGCUGUUCUAGGAGUUUUAAUUAUAUCCGAAUAAUGUAACUCAUUGUGACGAGGCGUCUCAGGGGUUUCUGCUGCUGGCUCUGCAUCACGAGGAAGCACUAUCUCGGAUUUUAUUGAUGUGUUGAGGGGCUAUUUGGGAAUUCGUGUUUUGCUCAUCCACCCGUAGUUUUCUUCCUGUGCUAUGCUAUUUGCAUAGCAUGGGUGCAGGUCACUUUUUAAUUAUGAUUUUUUUUCGCCCCUAUGUUCUAUGCAGUAAGAAGCUGGUUGCCGUUUUGCACCCAAAUGAUACUCAUUUCAGUCUUUGCCGAGUAAAUGCCACGUUGUCACCCUUCUAACCAUUCCCUAUUUCAAAUGUCUCGAAGUCUGCUUCUUUUUUUCUGUUCGUUCCAUGCUGGGCGGUCCUCCGAGGACUUGGGAAUCGGCGCACAUCUCAGUGAGCCCAGCCUGCGCCGAUGUGAUGGUGGCACGGAAAAGCAAAGAUUGAAAAGUACCAGUCCCCCCCAAAGAUUACUUUUAGAACCGUGAGCACUAUAACGUAUCUGUAAAACUUUGUACGUAAUUGUCACUCCAGCAGCAAUGAAUUUAAGAGAGGGACAGUUUGCCUGCUUUCCAUGUUGGGUGGGUGGAGCAGAGCUGUAUACUUGAGACUAAAUGAUUGUAGUCGAUUCGAUGUCUGUAAGCAAUUUGCAUGGCAGCAGCCUUGAAUUACUAGUUACUUGAAACAUUGCCUGCUUUCCGUGUUGGGUUGGUGGAGCAUACUUGUCUUAAGAUCUUUGAGGUGAAAUAAGGAAUGCGCAGAGAUAAGUUGUUAUCACUCGGACUAGUUAGAAGUAGUGUUUUGAAAUUAAGUUCGGACAUGUGUAUUAUAGUUCGAAGCUGGUUGUGAAAGGAGCCAAUCAAUUACGAGUCAUGCUUCAGAGAAAUGUGACUUUUCAAGCUUUUAAAAACUGAAAGCUUCUGAAGUAUUCAUCAGACAUAUAACUCUUUGGUGGCACAGACGGUUAAUUUUAUUUUCUCCUAUGUGUGAUG